UACGGGGGGGGCAAGCGUUGUUCGGAAUUACUGGGCGUAAAGGGCUCGUAGGCGGCCAACUAAGUCAGACGUGAAAUCCCUCGGCUUAACCGGGGAACUGCGUCUGAUACUGGAUGGCUUGAGUUUGGGAGAGGGAUGCGGAAUUCCAGGUGUAGCGGUGAAAUGCGUAGAUAUCGAGAGGAACACCAGUGGCGAAGGCGAGUCCCUGGACAACUCCUGACACUGAGGCACGAAAGCUAGGGGAGCAAACAGG
Molecule: ribosomal RNA, 253 nt
Filed under: uncultured bacterium
Lineage: Bacteria
Description: partial 16S ribosomal RNA
Rfam family: Bacterial small subunit ribosomal RNA
Source: RNAcentral